This is a non-coding RNA of Ictidomys tridecemlineatus (thirteen-lined ground squirrel), 307 nucleotides long. The record is from RefSeq and is a predicted model, not a curated record. NCBI's taxonomy places the organism in Eukaryota, Metazoa, Chordata, Mammalia, Rodentia, Sciuridae.
AGAGAUGACAGUGUGUCUUGUCUUAAUCUGCUUUUCUGGGUUGGAAGAGGGAAGUUUAAAUUAUAAUAGAAGAAUAUACUGUCAUACUGGGAAUUACAAACCGCUGUUAAUUUGCAUGCAGAACUCUGUUCUACAACAAGACAGCCACAGCAGGGAAGCAAUAAGAAAAUGAUUAAGCAUGACUAAGACCAACAUGGACUUCUCUCUCAUUUGUAAGAAGAGAACUAAAAUGUUGUCAGAAGGUAAGCACCCCUAUGGGAUUAGGGCAAUUUUCAAAUUUCACAUAAAUAAAAACAGCUAAUCAAUA